RNAcentral lists this ribosomal RNA (460 nucleotides) under uncultured bacterium. RNAcentral's name for it is "partial 16S ribosomal RNA". It matches the Rfam family "Bacterial small subunit ribosomal RNA", at positions 338 to 795 of the family's 1533-position model. The record is from RNAcentral.
CCUACGGGUGGCUGCAGUGAGGAAUAUUGGUCAAUGGCCGCAAGCCUGAACCAGCCAAGUCGCGUGAAGGAUGACUGCCCCACGGAUUGUAAACUUCUUUUGUCAAGGAAUAAAGUCAGGCACGUGUGCCUUUUUGUAGGUACUUUAUGAAUAAGCAUCGGCUAACUCCGUGCCAGCAGCCGCGGUAAUACGGAGGAUCCGAGAGUUAUCCGGAUUUCUUGGGUUUAAAGGGAGCGUAGAGGGGUUGUUAAGGCAGUUGGGAAAAGUUGUGGAUCAACCGUAAAAGUGAAAUUGAUACUGGCAGUCUUGAGUACAGUUGAGGUAGGCGGAAUGCGCGGUGUAGCGGUGAAAUGCUUAGAUAUAACGAAGAACUCCGAUUGCGAAGGCAGCUUACUAACCUGCAACUGACAUUGAUGCUCGAAAGUGUGGGUAUCAAACAGGAUUAGAUACCCUAGUAGUC